CAACACCUGGCCAUGACACAGUCACAUGACACUGAGGUCAGAACGACACACAAUGCCUGGCUUUGUGUUCAGGUGUUCUUUUAGACUCCCAUGUGAUCAACUCUUUGUGACACAUGCAGAAAGAGCAGAAUAUAUGAACUCUCAUUUCCAGACCAAAGUAGCUUUAUUCGUGCAUCUUGACCACUUCCUGAUGCAAUUCAGAGAAAACAGACAACCAGCUUUUCUGGGACAUUAAAACAUGAAAUUUGUCUUGCUCAUUUUACCUUAGUCACAUUAUGUGGGCUAAACUGUUUGAAGAACAAAACGUGAAGUGUGAGAGCUACUUUGCAUUAUGCAUGUGAAAUACUUAAGUGUAUAAAUCAAAUCCAAGCAAUGACAUUGAGUCUAGACUUUAUUGUUCUUUCAUAUUGUGUGUGUGAAAUGUUUCAACAAUGACAAGCCAGAGAAAACGAAAAGAAAGGAUAAUUGUACAUUAUAAUCAUAGAAAUAUUGUAGAGGUGACAUGUUCAGACAGAAGCAAUAAUUCCCUGUGCAGCAGUUCCUUAGUGUGGUACUGAUUCAACCAUGUCAACCCUCUCAAUGGAUCCGAGACUGAUCAUUUUAAUACCCAGGAUAUUAAAUAUUUCAUCACCCACAGUUCAGCAAAUAAAUCACAAGACCUGUUCCCUUUUUAGGAAAAUUCACAAUUUAUUGAAUGAAUAAAAUCUACAAGCAUGUUGAAAAGUUGGACACUAUAGCAAUUUCAUAAAAAAUAAUGCACUCCACACAAGGUUCAAGGGUUAUUCAAGCUACUUUAUAUGUUGUGUACAAUGUGCUGUCAGACCGUACUGCAACAUUAGGUCACAGUGGUCAUCUUUCCAUUUCGGGAAAACUGAAUGAAAUGGGCAGCUCAUUGGCUCUCUCAACCUGCAGCAGAGAGAAGAACACUUUAGAACAGAUAGUCAUUUAGACCUACAUUACACACAGAAAUGUUACAUUAAAAAUUAUUAAACAUGAGGAGUUUAAAACAUUCAAAUCCGUAAAAACGACACUCUGGAUCACAGUUGUUUUAACGCCUUUACAAAAAAAUAUGUGGAGUCUUGCUCUGCAGUCGUGUCAUCAGAACAAAUUUUACUUUUGCACUUGUUAUCUUGUACUUUUAUACUUUCUUAUGUUUGUUCAAUGCUAUUUCAUUGACACCACGAAAGGCCAGGCCAGUUAAAUUUAUUAUUAAUUUUCAGAAUAAAAAAAAUAAACAUGAUUAUUUCAGAUGAUAAAAUUACUUUAAUAAUUAUUCUCAACUUUACAAUAUAUACAAUUAGUUUUGCCACAACAGUAAAUGUAGAAAAUGUUUUAAUAAAUUAUUUUUUUUAAUAAACAUAUUAUUUAUUUAUUUUUUAUUUUUUGGUUUCCAAGAUUAAGUUAAUGUCGCUUUCUGAUGCUGCGUUUGAAACAAACUUUGUUAUGGCUCAUUUCAUCACAAUUUCGAGUCAGAAUUAUUAGCCAGCAAAUACAAGCUCUUUUUGAGUAAAGAGCAAAGAGUGAUUCUCAAAAAAGUAUUUCUUAAAUAAAAGCUUUGUUAUUCCUCACUCUGGUCUAUAAGUGAUUUGACACAAAGCACUAAUUCUGACAUUAAGCCCUUACAAAUCCCUUGCUGCUCAUUUAGUCCAGCUCAAGCUACCAUGAUCAUUCCAUUUAUCAAGAACCUCGCUCUCUCUCUAAGGCACAAGGGAAGAGUCCUCAUAAGCAUCACAAAGUUUUCCACACAGCUUGCCAGUUUUAUUAAAAGUUGUCUAGCACUAGGAAGGAUUCUGACAUUCCCAAUAUUCCAGGCUGUCUGUCGGCAGGCUUACAAUGUAUUAUUAUACCUCUUUAAUAUAGAUACACACUUAAUCCAACUGUACAGUUUGAGGAGAACAGAUCAAUGAGAAAUAAAAAAUGGAGGAUUGUAGCAAAAUGAACUGUCUCCAUUGCCCUGUCAGACUUUAAGUGCACAUUCAUAAGUUGAAUUCUGAAAUGGUUUGGCGCUAAUAGACCCAGGAUGGCCCUCUGACAGCUGCUCUCAAGAUCUUUCUUCUCAAAUGAAACCUCAUCGUAGGCACUUUCUUCACUCAGGCGCCAUUGUGGAGCCAUUGUUUUCCUCGCUUCUGUGUUUUAAAUUUUGCAAUAAAAACAAACCAGCACAAUGCACGCACAAAGAUGAAAUGAUGCUUUAAAUUUCAUUGCCUUUGAGAUCUGACUCACAUCCUGAAACAUCAUCUUAGAUGAAAUGGACACUUCUCACUUUCCACAACUCCUUCCACCGACCAGGAGUUCGACAUCUCAACAGGCCUUCGAUUCUUCAACAAAAGGAAACUAAACCGUGCCUCAUUAUGAAACAUGAAUCAGGUGAAUCACUUCCAGUCUAAGCCAUUAUUAAGGUACAGUACAUGACUGACAAAAAAUAUCACCAAGUUCUCAAAAAUCUGCAUGUACUGUUCGCUAACAAAGAGGAGAACAAUAAUGGAGUGUCCGACACUUUCUUGUCUUCAGCUUUGUUCCUCCCCGUCCUCUCACAUGGUUUUUGCUUACACAUCUCCUUAUAACCUGAAAAGAGUGUGUUUUUUUUUUUCUUGUUGUGAAGAACACAGGUCUGGGAGGGUCUGUGUUUCUGCCUCCCCUCAUUAUUUCUUGUUUGCUGUUGGGCAAGAGAAUAACUUAUCCUAUUCCACUUAUCCCCUAUAGCUUUCACUCUCUUUGGUUAUUAUAGUAUUAUAUUUCUUAAAACCUUAGAAGGCGAUAACAAGCAUGAGAGGAGAGGACCUUUAUGCCAGUACAUAUACUGUUAGCUGUAUAUUGUGGAUGUUGCUUACGGUCAUGUUGCUUGUUAUAUUUGUCUCAUCUAGCCAUCUCCAUUCUAAAUCUCUUGUCCCAGAAAGUAAAUAAUUAAAUAUAAAAAGCAAGACAACAACAAAAAGUACUUCAACCCAGAGGAAUAAAUUAAAAGUGCUACAUACAGCACGCUGCCUCAGGAGAAGCAUAUGCCUUUGAUGUGUGGUCCAAGAUCGGCACAGAUGUGUUUUUCAGCAUCACUUUGCUUGUACUGACUCUGCAGAAUUCAUCAGCCUAUCUGUGUCAGAUUCUUCACCGACCGCACAUUAUUUCUCUGAGCAAUAAAAGAGGUGCUUGAGCCACUCUUUCCAGAACUGGACCCUGCGACUCAAUACAGUCUAUGCCAACCACUCCUGCUUGAUUCAACCCCACUGCUGUCCUGAAUGAAAAGAGAAACACCAUCUAUAGGUCUCAAAAACUAUCACCUACAUAUCAAAUUAAGUGUCUGGGUAUGCUUAAUACUCAAAAACUUGACCUAAUCACUAAAUACUACUGAUAAAAGGGACAGUAAUAAAUACAUUUGCAGUUUGGAACUCA
Long non-coding RNA from Cyprinus carpio carpio, 3387 nucleotides. The record is from Ensembl. Lineage: Eukaryota; Metazoa; Chordata; Actinopteri; Cypriniformes; Cyprinidae.